UAGCCGUAAACGAUGCAGACUAGGUGUUUGGACGGCCACGUGCCGUUCUAGUGCCGCAGGGAAGCUGUUAAGUCUGCCGCCUGGGGAGUACGAUCGCAAGAUUGAAACUUAAAGGAAUUGGCGGGGGAGCACCACAACGGGUGGAGCUUGCGGUUUAAUUGGAUUCAACGCCGGACAACUCACCAGGAGCGACGGUUACAUGAAGGCCAGGCUGAUGACCUUGCCUGAUUUUCCGAGAGGUGGUGCAUGGCGUAGUCGUGU
This 261-nucleotide ribosomal RNA is filed under the name uncultured archaeon. RNAcentral's name for it is "partial 16S ribosomal RNA". It matches the Rfam family "Archaeal small subunit ribosomal RNA", at positions 748 to 1009 of the family's 1478-position model. The record is from RNAcentral.